UGCCCCACAGCUAGCCCACACCCCCCCCCCCCCAACAAACAACCAUUAAUACCCACUAACAACCUUAAGACAAGAGUUAAACCAAACCAUUUUUCCCCCUUAGUAUGGGCGACAGAAAAG
This 120-nucleotide ribosomal RNA is filed under the name Monocentris japonica. RNAcentral describes it as "Monocentris japonicus partial 16S ribosomal RNA". The record is from RNAcentral. Lineage: Eukaryota; Metazoa; Chordata; Actinopteri; Trachichthyiformes; Monocentridae.